Non-coding RNA from Phascolarctos cinereus (koala), 688 nucleotides. The record is from RefSeq and is a predicted model, not a curated record. NCBI's taxonomy places the organism in Eukaryota, Metazoa, Chordata, Mammalia, Diprotodontia, Phascolarctidae.
AAACCGACACCCAGAGAGGUUAGAUGAUUUAUCCAAGGUCACAGAUAAUAAGUGGCUCAGCCUGGAUUCAUACUUGAGACCUAUAAAGGAAAGAGGUAAAGAACCUAAAGAGAAGAAGGAGGAUUUGUACUCAAGCUGAAGGAGACAGAGAAGGACUUCUAGAAAAGAAGGUGAUGAGUUCUGUGUGAUGCCUGGUGACUCAUUGCUGAAGUGAGGCAACUAUUUGUGGAUCAGAUAACAGCAAUGAAGAGGUUUGCUUUCUUGCUGGUAAAUGUCUCUAAGAGGUGACAGAGAACAUUCCAGACACUUGAGGGCCGUUAGGUACAGUGGAAAUAACACUGGCUCCUAAGCAAGACAACCUGGGAUUGAAUCCUGCCUCUACGUCCUAUUAUCUAUGUAACCUAAGCUACUCUCCUUUGGACUUCUCCACCAUGCCCCCAGGAACUUUGCCAUACUACAAGACCAAAUCAGCCUUAAUACUUAUACCUCAUCACACUCUCUGCCCUUGGGAACCCUCUGAUUGGAAGGCAGAGUGAAGAGCUCCUCCCAAAGCCUCCAUUUAAGGAAAACGCUCAGGCCAGCCAUCUCUUCAUUUCCCACCUGGCUACAAUACUUUGGACUUCUCUAUUAUGCCUCCAUGCCCUCCCCCCUUUCAGCUUCCUUGUGGGUGCUAUCUUUCCCAUUAGAU